RNAcentral lists this ribosomal RNA (680 nucleotides) under uncultured fungus. Its description in RNAcentral is "eukaryotic LSU rRNA". The stretch from base 136 to 289 matches the Rfam family "5.8S ribosomal RNA". Lineage: Eukaryota; Fungi. The record is from RNAcentral.
CGUGCUGUUGCGCCUUUAUCACAGGCUGCACGCCCCGUCCGAUACAUUUACACCUGUGCACCUUUGACCCGCAUAUAGUCGGGUCCUUACACACACACUUUAAAAUCUUAGAAUGUUUAUUAUACAAAUUAUGACAACUUUCAACAACGGAUCUCUUGGCUCUCGCAUCGAUGAAGAACGCAGCGAAAUGCGAUAAGUAAUGUGAAUUGCAGAAUUCAGUGAAUCAUCGAAUCUUUGAACGCACCUUGCGCCCUUUGGUAAUCCGAGGGGCAUGCCUGUUUGAGUGUCUUGAAGCUCUCAAAACGUAUGCUUAAUUGUCACACGUUUUGGAUUUGGGUUUUUGCCGGUCGCAAGAUCGGCUCACCCUAAACGCAUUAGCUGGCUUUUGGGUCCGCGAACUCGGUGUGAUAAUUGUCACUCGCCGGGUUGGCAGGCUUGUUAUGGAAGCCGCUUACAGUCGUCUUCUCGGAGACAAUACAUCUAAGUGUUUGACCUCAAAUCAGGUAGGACUACCCGCUGAACUUAAGCAUAUCAAUAAGCGGAGGAAAAGAAACUAACAAGGAUUCCCCUAGUAACGGCGAGUGAAGCGGGAAAAGCUCAAAUUUGUAAUCUGGCGGUCUCUGGCCGUCCGAGUUGUAUUCUAUAGAAGCGUUAUCCGUGCCGGACCGUGUACAAGUCUC